Molecule: ribosomal RNA, 596 nt
Filed under: Hydranthea margarica
Lineage: Eukaryota; Metazoa; Cnidaria; Hydrozoa; Leptothecata; Haleciidae
Description: partial 16S ribosomal RNA
Rfam family: Bacterial large subunit ribosomal RNA
Source: RNAcentral
AGCCCUAGAUAAAAUCUAAGGUGUGACCUGCCCAGUGACUUUAAAAUAAAAGAAUAAAAAUCUUAAAAUAAAGUUAAAAGGACGCGGUAACCUUGACCGUGAUAAUGUAGCAUAAUCACUCGCCAUUUAAUUGGUGGAUAGUAUGAAUGGUCGGACGAAUAUUCCACUGUCUUAGAAAAAAAUAAAUAAAAUUGAAAUAAUAGUUAAGAUGCUAUUUAAAACUGUAAGACGAAAAGACCCUAUAGAGCUUAACUAUAGUCUCUAUUCAAAUCAAUAAAAAUAAAAUUUUAUAAAUAUAGAGAUAGGUAGUUUAGUUGGGGCGACUGUCUUCUAAAAAUAACGAAGAUAAGCAAUAUUAAUUAAAAAUUUAUUGUAUAAUUAAAAAAUUUAACAAUUAUAAAAAUAGGCUAUAAUGACCCGUUAGAUUAGAAUAAAAUUUCUAACGAUCAAUUAAUAAAAGCUACCUUAGGGAUAACAGGAUAAUUUUAUUUUAGAGAUCAUAUCGAAAAUAAAGUUUGUCACCUCUAUGUUGAAUUAAGAUAUCCUGAUAAUGCAGCAGUUAUCAAAGGUAGGUCUGUUCGACCUUUAAAAUCUUA